RNAcentral lists this ribosomal RNA (489 nucleotides) under uncultured bacterium. RNAcentral's name for it is "partial 16S ribosomal RNA". It matches the Rfam family "Bacterial small subunit ribosomal RNA", at positions 28 to 507 of the family's 1533-position model. The record is from RNAcentral.
GACGAACGCUGGCGGCGUGCUUAACACAUGCAAGUCGAACGGUGAAGGGACCAGCUUGCUGGUUCUGGAUGAGUGGCGAACGGGUGAGUAACACGUGAGUAACCUGCCCCCUUCUUCUGGAUAACCGCAUGAAAGUGUGGCUAAUACGGGAUAUUCUGUGUCUGUCGCAUGGCGGGCCCGGGAAAGAUAUUGCUUCGGUGGGGGAUGGGCUCGCGGCCUAUCAGCUUGUUGGUGGGGUGAUGGCCUACCAAGGCGGUGACGGGUAGCCGGCCUGAGAGGGUGGACGGUCACACUGGGAAUGAGACACGGCCCAGACUCCUACGGGAGGCAGCAGUGGGGAAUAUUGCACAAUGGGAGCAAGCCUGAUGCAGCGACGCCGCGUGAGGGAUGAAGGCCUUCGGGUUGUAAACCUCUUUCGGAAGUGAAGCAGGCCUGCUCCUUGUGGGUGGGUUGACGGUAGCUGGAUAAGAAGCGCCGGCUAACUACGUG